GAUGAAGAACGCAGUGAAAUGCGAUACGUAAUGUGAAUUGCAGAAUUCAGUGAAUCAUCGAAUCUUUGAACGCACAUUGCGCCCGCCAGUAUUCUGGCGGGCAUGCCUGUUCGAGCGUCAUUUCAACCCUCAAGCCCCCGGGCUUGGUGUUGGGGAUCGGCGUGCCCUCGCGGCGCGCCGUCCCCUAAAUCUAGUGGCGGUCUCGCUGUAGCUUCCUCUGCGUAGUAGCAACACUCGCACUGGAUCGCAGCGCGGCCACGCCGUUAAACCCCCCACUUCUGAAAGUUUGACCUCGGAUCAGGUAGGAAUACCCGCUGAACUUAAGCAUAUCAAUAAGCGGAGGA
This 344-nucleotide unclassified non-coding RNA is filed under the name soil metagenome. RNAcentral describes it as "partial contains 5.8S ribosomal RNA, internal transcribed spacer 2, and large subunit ribosomal RNA". The stretch from base 1 to 120 matches the Rfam family "5.8S ribosomal RNA", at positions 35 to 154 of the family's 154-position model. The record is from RNAcentral.